Amaranthus tricolor (Joseph's coat) is the source of this 161-nucleotide small nuclear RNA. RefSeq annotates it as U12 minor spliceosomal RNA. The transcript has a single exon. NCBI's taxonomy places the organism in Eukaryota, Viridiplantae, Streptophyta, Magnoliopsida, Caryophyllales, Amaranthaceae. The record is from RefSeq and is a predicted model, not a curated record.
CUGCCUUAAACUAAUGAGUAAGGAAAACAAAGCGGGCAGUGAGAACUGACCGCAGCGUCUAACCAAAAAUAUGGUGCGCAAUUAAUUUUUGGAAGGGGAAUAGGCUAGCCGAGUUGAGACGCUGCUUACUUUUGCAGAACUCACUUGUGCAGGCCUCCCAU